Molecule: ribosomal RNA, 253 nt
Filed under: uncultured bacterium
Lineage: Bacteria
Description: partial 16S ribosomal RNA
Rfam family: Bacterial small subunit ribosomal RNA
Source: RNAcentral
UACGAGGGGGGCGAGCGUUGUUCGGAAUUAUUGGGCGUAAAGGAUGCGUAGGCGGUUUGGUAAGUCUGAUGUGAAAUCUAUGGGCUCAACUCAUAGUCUGCAUCGGAAACUGCCGGGCUUGAGUGUGGGAGAGGUGAGUGGAAUUCCUGGUGUAGCGGUGAAAUGCGUAGAGAUCCGGAGGAACACCAGUGGCGAAGGCGACACGCUGGGUCACACCUGACGCUAAAACGCGACAGCAUGGGGAGCAAACGGG